GACGAACGCUGGCGGCGUGCCUAAUACAUGCAAGUCGAACGCUGAAGGAGGAGCUUGCUCUUCUGGAUGAGUUGCGAACGGGUGAGUAACGCGUAGGUAACCUGCCUGGUAGCGGGGGAUAACUAUUGGAAACGAUAGCUAAUACCGCAUAACAGUAGAUGUUGCAUGACAUUUACUUAAAAGGUGCAAUUGCAUCACUACCAGAUGGACCUGCGUUGUAUUAGCUAGUUGGUGGGGUAACGGCUCACCAAGGCGACGAUACAUAGCCGACCUGAGAGGGGGAUCGGCCACACUGGGACUGAGACACGGCACAGACGCCUACGGGAGGCAGCAGUAGGGAAUCUUCGGCAAGGGACGGAAGUCUGACCGAGAAACGCCGCGUGAGUGAAGAAGGUUGUCGGAUCGGAAAGCUCGGUUGUAAGAGAAGAACGAGUGUGAGAGUGGAAAGUUCACACUGUGACGGUAGCUGACCAGAAAGGGACGGCUAACUACGUG
RNAcentral lists this ribosomal RNA (495 nucleotides) under uncultured bacterium. Its description in RNAcentral is "partial 16S ribosomal RNA". It matches the Rfam family "Bacterial small subunit ribosomal RNA", at positions 28 to 507 of the family's 1533-position model. The record is from RNAcentral.